AGGACGAACGCUGGCGGCGUGCUUAACACAUGCAAGUCGAGCGGAAAGGCCCUUCGGGGUACUCGAGCGGCGAACGGGUGAGUAACACGUGAGUAAUCUGCCCCUAGCUCUGGGAUAGCUCCGGGAAACCGGGAUUAAUACCAGAUACGACCACUUUAGACAUCUGUUGUGGUGGAAAGAAUUUUGGCUAGGGAUGAGCUCGCGGCCUAUCAGCUUGUUGGUGAGGUAACGGCUCACCAAGGCGACGACGGGUAGCCGGCCUGAGAGGGCGACCGGCCACACUGGGACUGAGACACGGCCCAGACUCCUACGGGAGGCAGCAGUGGGGAAUAUUGCGCAAUGGGCGAAAGCCUGACGCAGCGACGCCGCGUGGGGGAUGAAGGCCUUCGGGUUGUAAACCCCUUUCAGCAGGGACGAAGCGAAAGUGACGGUACCUGCAGAAGAAGCGCCGGCUAACUACGCGCCAGCAGCCGC
This 474-nucleotide ribosomal RNA is filed under the name uncultured bacterium. RNAcentral describes it as "SSU rRNA". It matches the Rfam family "Bacterial small subunit ribosomal RNA", at positions 26 to 518 of the family's 1533-position model. The record is from RNAcentral.